GAUGAACGCUGGCGGCGUGCCUAAUACAUGCAAGUCGAGCGGACGGACGCGGCGCUUGCUUUUCUGAUGUUAGCGGCGGGCGGGAGAGUAACACGUGUAUACCCUCCCUAUAAGACUGGGAUCACUUCGGGAAACCGGAGCUAAUACCGGAUAAUAUUUUGAACCGCAUGGUUCAAAAGUGAGAGACGGUCUUGCUGUCACUUAUAGAUGGAUCCGCGCUGGAUUAGCUAGUUGGGAAGGUAACGGCUUACCAAGGCAACGAUGCAUAGCCGACCUGAGAGGGUGAUCGGCCACACUGGAACUGAGACACGGUCCAGACGCCUAAGGGAGGCAGCAGUAGGGAACCUUCGGCAAUGGGCGAAAGCCUGACGGAGCAACGCCGCGUGAGUGAUGAAGGUCUUCGGAUCGUAAAACUCUGUUAUUAGGGAAGAACAGAUGUGGAAGGAACUGUGGAGAGCUUGACGGUACCGAAUCAGAAAGCCACGGCUAACUACGUG
RNAcentral lists this ribosomal RNA (497 nucleotides) under uncultured bacterium. RNAcentral's name for it is "partial 16S ribosomal RNA". It matches the Rfam family "Bacterial small subunit ribosomal RNA", at positions 28 to 507 of the family's 1533-position model. The record is from RNAcentral.